RNAcentral lists this microRNA precursor (204 nucleotides) under Oryza barthii. RNAcentral's name for it is "MIR812 microRNA precursor family". It matches the Rfam family "MIR812 microRNA precursor family". Lineage: Eukaryota; Viridiplantae; Streptophyta; Magnoliopsida; Poales; Poaceae. The record is from Rfam by way of RNAcentral.
AAUAGAUGACGCCAUUGACUUUUUCUCGCAUGUUUGACCAUUCGUCUUAUUUAAAAAAUUUAUAUAAUUAUAAUUUAUUUUGUUAUGAGUUGUUUUAUCACUCAUAGUACUUUAAGUGUGAUUUAUAUUUUAUACAUUUACAUAAAAUUUUUGAAUAAGACGAAUAGUCAAACAUAUGAGAAAAAGUCAACGGCAUCAUCUAUU